RNAcentral lists this ribosomal RNA (503 nucleotides) under uncultured bacterium. RNAcentral describes it as "partial 16S ribosomal RNA". It matches the Rfam family "Bacterial small subunit ribosomal RNA", at positions 28 to 505 of the family's 1533-position model. The record is from RNAcentral.
GACGAACGCUGGCGGCGUGCCUAAUACAUGCAAGUAGAACGCACAGUUUAUACCGUAGCUUGCUACACCAUAGACUGUGAGCUGCGAACGGGUGAGUAACGCGUAGGUAACCUGCCUGGUAGCGGGGGAUAACUAUUGGAAACGAUAGCUAAUACCGCAUAAUAUUAAUUAUUGCAUGAUAAUUAAUUGAAAGGUGCAAUUGCACCACUACCAGAUGGACCUGCGUUGUAUUAGCUAGUAGGUGAGGUAACGGCUCACCUAGGCGACGAUACAUAGCCGACCUGAGAGGGGGAUCGGCCACACUGGGACUGAGACACGGCCCAGACUCCUACGGGAGGCAGCAGUAGGGAAUCUUCGGCAAUGGACGAAAGUCUGACCGAGCAACGCCGCGUGAGUGAAGAAGGUUUUCGGAUCGUAAAGCUCUGUUGUAAGAGAAGAACGGGUGUGAGAGUGGAAAGUUCACACUGUGACGGUAUCUUACCAGAAAGGGACGGCUAACUACG